GAAAUGCGAUACUUGGUGUGAAUUGCAGAAUCCCGUGAACCAUCGAGUCUUUGAACGCAAGUUGCGCCUGAAGCCGUUAGGCUAAAGGCACGUCUGCCUGGGCGUCACGCAUCGCGUCACCACACUCCCAAUUCUGGUGAGUGGGGUGGAAUGUGACCUCCUGUUCCUAACGGUGCAGUUGGUCGAAAUUUUAGUCCGGAGCUUAGGACUUCACGACAAGUGGUGGUUGGAAAACAACUCUCGUCAUGUCGUGUGCCAAACCUUUGCGACUCUCAAGACCCUAAUGUGUGCUUGUUUUCCAUCCUCUUUUGUGUGGGAAGCUCGUGCUACGACCGCGACCCCAGGUCAGGCGGGAUUACCCGCUGAAUUUAA
This 372-nucleotide unclassified non-coding RNA is filed under the name uncultured fungus. Its description in RNAcentral is "sequence contains ITS1". The stretch from base 1 to 107 matches the Rfam family "5.8S ribosomal RNA", at positions 50 to 154 of the family's 154-position model. Lineage: Eukaryota; Fungi. The record is from RNAcentral.